CGACCUUGAAGCGGCAUCCGAGGAGAUGUGGCCACGGGGCAGGCGACCGACACCAGCGAGUCCAGAGGGCCAGCGUGUGCACCACUGUGUGUCUCCAGAGACUUCAGGAAGCAGCCACCACGCCCGAGGAAUGCAGGAAGAUGGACACACGGCUGGGGAAGUACAAUGAAAGGCCAAGUAGGCAGCCUGUUCUCCUCAGAUCAGUCCCCCACGAACACUCAUUCCCGAGGACUCAUCCAAUACUAAUAAGAGAAUGCUCUUGUUUUUGAAGAAUUUUCUGAAAGCCAUCCUGACAAAUUAAGUAGAGUAUGCUGAAGAUAGUCAGACUUUGUUUUUAAGAAUUGAAUAUUCUGGAAGAGGCUCUUCAGUCCAAUCUUUAGUUCUCUCCACAGAGCAAACGAAGUGAAGUGCUGAAGGCCUGGAGCCCGAGCUGUUCCCACACGGACUCCAGGACAGUUAAGGCAGGGUUGCCUUAACUAAAUCUCUGACAACUGUUUCUUCUGUCUUUCUCCUAAAAAUGGAAUGCAGGCCAUCUAUUCUAGGGAAAUAAAGGAUUCUAGUUAUGUGAA
This 569-nucleotide long non-coding RNA is filed under the name Homo sapiens (human). RNAcentral describes it as "non-protein coding lnc-PTPN2-2:5". Lineage: Eukaryota; Metazoa; Chordata; Mammalia; Primates; Hominidae. The record is from RNAcentral.